UACGUAGGGUGCAAGCGUUAAUCGGAAUUACUGGGCGUAAAGCGUGCGCAGGCGGCUUUGCAAGACAGAUGUGAAAUCCCCGGGCUUAACCUGGGAACUGCAUUUGUGACUGCAUGGCUAGAGUGCGGGAGAGGGAUGUGGAAUUCCAGGUGUAGCGGUGAAAUGCGUAGAUAUCUGGAGGAACACCGGUGGCGAAGGCGGCAUCCUGGACCGACACUGACGCUGAGGCGCGAAAGCUAGGGUAGCAAACGGG
This 253-nucleotide ribosomal RNA is filed under the name uncultured bacterium. RNAcentral's name for it is "partial 16S ribosomal RNA". It matches the Rfam family "Bacterial small subunit ribosomal RNA", at positions 524 to 776 of the family's 1533-position model. The record is from RNAcentral.